AGCGAACGCUGGCGGCAGGCUUAACACAUGCAAGUCGAACGGGCACCUUCGGGUGUCAGUGGCAGACGGGUGAGUAACACGUGGGAACGUACCCUUCGGUUCGGAAUAACUCAGGGAAACUUGAGCUAAUACCGGAUACGCCCUUUUGGGGAAAGGUUUACUGCCGAAGGAUCGGCCCGCGUCUGAUUAGCUUGUUGGUGGGGUAACGGCCUACCAAGGCGACGAUCAGUAGCUGGUCUGAGAGGAUGAUCAGCCACACUGGGACUGAGACACGGCCCAGACUCCUACGGGAGGCAGCAGUGGGGAAUAUUGGACAAUGGGCGCAAGCCUGAUCCAGCCAUGCCGCGUGAGUGAUGAAGGCCUUAGGGUUGUAAAGCUCUUUUGUCCGGGACGAUAAUGACGGUACCGGAAGAAUAAGCCCCGGCUAACUUCGUGCCAGCAGCCGCGGUAAUACGAAGGGGGCUAGCGUUGCUCGGAAUCACUGGGCGUAAAGGGCGCGUAGGCGGCCGAUUAAGUCGGGGGUGAAAGCCUGUGGCUCAACCACAGAAUUGCCUUCGAUACUGGUUGGCUUGGGACCGGAAGAGGACAGCGGAACUGCGAGUGUAGAGGUGAAAUUCGUAGAUAUUCGCAAGAACACCAGUGGCGAAGGCGGCUGUCUG
Molecule: ribosomal RNA, 659 nt
Filed under: uncultured Alphaproteobacteria bacterium
Lineage: Bacteria; Pseudomonadati; Pseudomonadota; Alphaproteobacteria
Description: bacterial SSU rRNA
Rfam family: Bacterial small subunit ribosomal RNA
Source: RNAcentral